AGUGGGAUAGCUGGGUCAAAUGGUGGUUCUAUUCCAAGUUUUCUGAGGAAUCUCCAUACUGCUUUCCAGAAUGGUUGCACCAAUUUCCAGUCCCACCAGCAAG
Molecule: microRNA precursor, 103 nt
Filed under: Marmota monax (woodchuck)
Lineage: Eukaryota; Metazoa; Chordata; Mammalia; Rodentia; Sciuridae
Source: RNAcentral